RNAcentral lists this ribosomal RNA (253 nucleotides) under uncultured bacterium. RNAcentral describes it as "partial 16S ribosomal RNA". It matches the Rfam family "Bacterial small subunit ribosomal RNA", at positions 524 to 776 of the family's 1533-position model. The record is from RNAcentral.
UACGUAGGUGGCAAGCGUUGUCCGGAUUUACUGGGCGUAAAGGGCGCGUAGGCGGCGUGUCAAGUCAGGCGUGAAAGCCCCGGGCUCAACCUGGGAACCGCGCUUGAGACUGGCAUGCUCGAGUUCGGGAGAGGAUGGUGGAAUUCCCAGUGUAGAGGUGAAAUUCGUAGAUAUUGGGAAGAACACCGAUGGCGAAGGCAGCCAUCUGGACCGACACUGACGCUGAGGCGCGAAAGCGUGGGGAGCAAACAGG